ACUCCUACGGGAGGCAGCAGUGGGGAAUAUUGGACAAUGGGCGAAAGCCUGAUCCAGCCAUGCCGCGUGUGUGAAGAAGGUCUUCGGAUUGUAAAGCACUUUAAGUUGGGAGGAAGGGUUGUAGAUUAAUACUCUGCAUUUUUGACGUUACCGACAGAAUAAGCACCGGCUAACUCUGUGCCAGCAGCCGCGGUAAUA
Molecule: ribosomal RNA, 198 nt
Filed under: uncultured bacterium
Lineage: Bacteria
Description: partial 16S ribosomal RNA
Rfam family: Bacterial small subunit ribosomal RNA
Source: RNAcentral